UCAUAAAGUCUGGUCCACAAUAGACACUCUAUAAGUGGGAGCUUAAAAUCUGCAAGUGAAUACAAACAUCAAACAGCCACAGAAUGGCCUUGAAGCAGAGGAUAAUGUUGCAUUAAUGUACAGCAAAAUUCUCAGCACCAAACACAGGGAUCUGCAGCUGUCCGGAGGGACACUACUAGAAUACUCAAGGCUCCCUCUAAGUGGCAACAAUUGCAACUUCAAGAAACCCUGGCAAUCAUAGAAAACAGAUGAAUCCUCGCUGCUGCAAGAUCUGUUACUGGAUUCUGAUUUGGUCCCGCCUGGAUCAGGGGGUCACCAUGAGACCAAUCACCUUCUGAGAUGGGAGAGUCAAGCCCGCCCCUGAGACCAGGGAAGUAGGACAAAGAGACUGGCACACAAGCUUUGCUGAAGUUUAUGUGGAUACAGGACAGGUACAAUAGUCACUACAAUAGUUCUCUAAUGUUCCAUGAGUGUAUCUAGGUUUCUGUUAUGAGAGAGAAGGACCUAUCAUUAUAAAGUACUAUUUCCAGGGCUGCUGCUGUGGCAUAGUGGGUAAAGCUACUGCCUGC
Molecule: long non-coding RNA, 569 nt
Filed under: Oryctolagus cuniculus (rabbit)
Lineage: Eukaryota; Metazoa; Chordata; Mammalia; Lagomorpha; Leporidae
Description: lncRNA (ENSOCUG00000037687.1)
Source: RNAcentral